GAAAGCCUGACGGAGCAACGCCGCGUGAGGGAUGAAGGCCUUUGGGCUGUAAACCUCUUUUCUCAAGGAAGAAGAUCUGACGGUACUUGAGGAAUAAGCCACGGCUAAUUCCGUGCCAGCAGCCGCGGUAAUACGGGAGUGGCAAGCGUUAUCCGGAAUUAUUGGGCGUAAAGCGUCCGCAGGCGGCCGUUUAAGUCUGUUGUUAAAUCGUGGAGCUCAACUCCAUCACGGCAAUGGAAACUGUUCGGCUUGAGUAUGGUAGGGGCAGAGGGAAUUUCCGGUGUAGCGGUGAAAUGCGUAGAUAUCGGGAAGAACACCAGUGGCAAAAGCGCUCUGCUGGGCCAUUACUGACGCUCAUGGACGAAAGCCAGGGGAGCGAAAGGGAUUAGAUACCCCUGUAGUCCUGGCCGUAAACGAUGAACACUAGAUGUUGGGGGAAUCGACCCCCUCGGUGUCGUAGCUAACGCGUUAAGUGUUCCGCCUGGGGAGUACGCACGCAAGUGUGAAACUCAAAGGAAUUGACGGGGGCCCGCACAAGCGGUGGAGUAUGUGGUUUAAUUCGAUGCAACGCGAAGAACCUUACCAAGGCUUGACAUCCUGCGAAUCUCUAAGAAAUUAGAGAGUGCCUUCGGGAACGCAGUGACAGGUGGUGCAUGGCUGUCGUCAGCUCGUGUCGUGAGAUGUUGGGUUAAGUCCCGCAACGAGCGCAACCCACGUUUUUAGUUGCCAGCAUUCAGUUGGGCACUCUAGAAAGACUGCCGGUGACAAACCGGAGGAAGGUGUGGACGACGUCAAGUCAUCAUGCCCCUUACGCCUUGGGCUACACACGUACUACAAUGCUGCGGACAAAGAGUAGCGAUCUUGCGAAAGUUAGCUAAUCUCGUAAACCGCGGCUCAGUUCAGAUCGUAGGCUGCAACUCGCCUACGUGAAGGAGGAAUCGCUAGUAAUCGCAGGUCAGCAUACUGCGGUGAAUACGUUCCCGGGCCUUGUACACACCGCCCGUCACACCAUGGAAGUUGGCC
This 1023-nucleotide ribosomal RNA is filed under the name uncultured cyanobacterium. RNAcentral describes it as "bacterial SSU rRNA". It matches the Rfam family "Bacterial small subunit ribosomal RNA", at positions 377 to 1416 of the family's 1533-position model. Lineage: Bacteria; Bacillati; Cyanobacteriota. The record is from RNAcentral.